This is a long non-coding RNA of Anastrepha ludens (Mexican fruit fly), 680 nucleotides long. RefSeq lists it as uncharacterized. The transcript has 3 exons. Lineage: Eukaryota; Metazoa; Arthropoda; Insecta; Diptera; Tephritidae. The record is from RefSeq and is a predicted model, not a curated record.
GGAUGUGUGAAAAAGUGUGUAAGCAAAAAUAUCAAUGGCAACAUUGUGUCGAUACAAGCACAUGCAUAUGCAUAUAUAUUCACAAAUUUGUGUACAAACAUAUUAAACGCGGAAAUGGCGCUGAACGACGAGCAUCUCGUAUCGCUAGUACAAGACAAAAAGGAACUCUACGACAAGAGCAAUCCUCUAUAUAAGUUCCAGGGAAGGAAAACGUUGAUAUGGGAAUAGAUCCGAAAGGAGCUGCGCACAAGUGGUGAGGUAUGCAGACGGAGGUGGUUAGCUCUUCGCGAUCGGUAUGGCAGAGAAGCCAGAAAAUCAGAAACACCAUCAGGCAGUGGAGCAGAAUACCAGAGGCCGUGGUAUCUGCUUGAAAGCAUGUCAUUUUUAAGGCCGCAUGUUAUUCCUCGACCGUGCUCACAAAAUGUGUGCCCAGAAGUAGCUUCGCUUACACCUUCAAUUGCUACUUCUAUGCCCUCACCGUUGCCAUCAAUAGUGCCACCAGAAGAGUUUUUUGAUGAUGUAGAUUCACCAUUGCCAUCAACAUCAGCGUCAUCUCCGUCACUUGCUCCACUCCAGUCAAAGCGACCUAGCGGAAAAAAACGGAUAAAACCUUCUGCACUUUUUUGGUCCUUGUAUUUUUUAUAUAUAAUAUAUAUGUAUGUAGUUGAAAUAAAUUAAGA